CUUUUUGAAAAUCUCUCUCUCUCUCUCUCUCUCUCUCUAUCUCUCUCUCUCUCUCUCUCUCUCAAACCUCUUUUACAUUUUGUGUUUCGAGGAGAGGGGAGGAAGUUCCUGCUCCCUCUCUCUCUCCCUCUCUCUUUCCUUACCUCCCUACUUAUUGUUCCCCCUUCCCCAUCUACUAAAUUUUGGGUUUUACUUGUGGGGAGGUUAUUUGUGUCAAAAUUUGUGGAUAUGUGAUUUUGUUGGUUUGAUGUUUUAUUGUAGGGUGAAGGCCUUAAAUCUCAAUGGUGUUCUCUAACUCCAAGGUGGGGGUGAUGGCUGUGGUGGUGGCGGCAACAACAGCGGUAGUGGUUUUGUUGGUUUUGGUUGCAUGUUUACAGUUUUCUUUUUGUAAUAAUUGCAUCAACUCCUUGUGAGUUGGGUGUCUGAUUGUUUUCUAGUCUCUACUUGUAUUUUGUACUUAUGAGUGUUAAAAGUUGUAGUUGUACUGGUAGAUUUGGGCGCUGCGAUUCAUGUAUGGUUUGUUCAGGUAUACGGCUUUUAUGCCAAAAUUUCACCAGUCUUUUGUGGCCUAUAUAUGUAUUAGCCCUAUGUGGUUAUUAUGCUUUUAUAUUUGUAUUACCCCUUUGCGAGCAUUUGUAUUUGUCCUUG
Molecule: long non-coding RNA, 648 nt
Filed under: Prunus dulcis (almond)
Lineage: Eukaryota; Viridiplantae; Streptophyta; Magnoliopsida; Rosales; Rosaceae
Description: sRNA ncRNA
Source: RNAcentral